This is a long non-coding RNA of Canis lupus familiaris (dog), 4823 nucleotides long. RefSeq lists it as uncharacterized. The record is from RefSeq and is a predicted model, not a curated record. The transcript has 3 exons. NCBI's taxonomy places the organism in Eukaryota, Metazoa, Chordata, Mammalia, Carnivora, Canidae.
GAGUCAAAGGCAGACACUCAACCACUGAGCCACCCAGGCAUUCCAAAUUAAUUAUUUUAAAAAUAGGUGGUACAUGCAUAUUGUAUAUAGUUAAAAUAUAGAAAAGUAUAUGGUAAGAAGUCCUGUAUUUUAAUUUUCAGAUUUCUCUCUCCAGAAACAAUCUGUCUUCAGUUUCUUCUGUGUUCUUCCAGGAAUUUUUAUGUCCAUGUUAGCAUAUAGGUUUUAUACGUGAAUUUCUGUUGUGGCUUUUUUUUUUCCCCCACAAGUAGUAACAUUCUAAACAUUGUUCUUCAUUUUACUUUUUUUUUCUUUAAAGAUUUUAUUUAUUUAUUCAUGAGAGACACAUGAGAGACACCAGAGAGAGAGAGGCAGAGACAGGCAGAGGGAGAAGCAGGCCCCAUGCAGGGAGCCCGAUGUCGGACUCGAUCCUGGGACUCCAGGAUCACGCCCCAAGCCCAAGGCAGACACUGAAAUGCUGAGCCACCCAGGUGUCCCUUCAUUUUACUUUUUAAAGUUAAAAUAGUUGGAUAUUUUCUAAUCAGUACAUGUUGAACUUCCUCAUUCUUUUCAAAGGUUAUAUUGUAUUCUGUGGUAUGCAUGGCCCAUAAUUUCACAGUCCUUUUUAAGUUGUUUUUAGUCUUUUGGUAUGACAAAACUGCUUGAAGGAAUAUUUUUGUCUAUGUGUCUUUAUAACAGUUUCCGAGAUAAAUUUUGAAAGUGUAGACUGCUAGAUGUCCCACUGAAUGCAUGGUUUUGUUUUGUUUUGUUUUUCCUGAAGAAGGGACUGGCAAAUGUUUUCUAUAAAGGGCCAAAUAAAUGCUUCAGGCUUUGCAUGCCGUAAGGCCUUUGCCGUAACUGCUCAACCCUUCGUUUGUAACUGGAAAGCAGUCAUAGGCAAUAUGGAAAUGAAUAUAUGGCUGUGCUCCAGUAAAAACUUUUAUAAAACAAAGGGGACUUGAGGGUUUGACCUUUGGGGUAUAAUUUGCUGUCCCUUGUUCUAGAGAAAGCAUUGUCUCCGGUAUAUGGCUGAUCUGCCAGGGACUACAGUUCUCAGAUUCCUUUGCAGCAAGGUGUGGUCAUGUGACCAGGUUCUCACCAUUGGAAUGUAAGGGGCUGAUGUGGGAAACACUGGGUAGGCAGUGCCUACCUUUUCUACCUUGCCUCCUGAUGAAUGGCUGAGGACUAGAAUGACCCCCUCAGAAGCUACCCAUUGAAGAUAGCAGAGCUGCCAUCAGCCUGGAUUCUUGAAUGACCCUAUGGAGCAGAGUCUCAUGUCUAACUUGAAAUAAUGUGGAACUGAUCCUCAGAGACAAACUGGUGUGUUUCUUUAAGUCACAGAAUUAUUGGUGAGUCUUGAUUUAGCAUUUAGCCUUCCCUAAAUAAUAAAGUGCCCAUUCAGGUACUUGUGGCACGGUAUUUUUUGACUGGAUCAGAAAUUGUGAUGUUCCAUGUGGAGUCAGAUCCUCUUUGUGCUUUUGCCCACUACCCCCUCGAUGUCCUGCAGUGUUUGUGGAAUUAUUGCCCUUCAAAGAAUGUCCGGGAACACCGAACACAGAUGUCCAUUCAUACCUCUUGUUUUGCAAGAGGUUGGGAGCCUUGUGGGAAAGAUGCCAGAGAAGCCCUGUUUUCAUAUAUGGUUCAUCUGUGUUCAGGCCUGUCUGAUGGCCUAGGAGUCCUGAAAGCAGUCCUUGCUAGAUGACAGAAAAACAGGUUCCUGAGAGAAGAUGACACCCGAGUGGGAGACAUGUGGCUGAGUAGCUCAGACUGAACGAUGAGUGGAAAUUAGGGGAAUCACAGGUGGCAGUUACAGUGGUGCCUUCCUACGACUGUCCCCUCACAGCAUACUCUGGCCCCACCUCCCCCACGUUCUUGAAAGCCCCAUCUUCUGGGAAAGAGAGGAAGGAUCCAUCAUCAGAGCUCAGCAUGGCUCUGUGGGAACCUUGCAGGGAACUGGUCUUGGGUGGGUAGAGAUCAGCAGUCUGACAAAGGAUGGAGUUUCAGUGGUUGAGUGCUGGGCUCAGAGCACUGAAGCUGGAGCAUGAUGAAGCCUGAAGCCUGAGGCUUUGAUUCUCUGUGAACCCCCAUUUCAUCACGACUUUGAAGUAGAAAAUGACCUUAUAUGGGACUCAGGAGCUGGUGGGGGCUUGAGUACACUCAGCUUGUAAUAGCGCCCCCUGGUGCUUUGCUGGAAUUUUUGGUGGAGAAUGCUUUUCUAGAAAGCUGGACUUGGUGAAGGUAUGCUUAAAUCAUCAAGAUUUGGGAUUACUAUAAAUGUAAUGGGUUUGGAUUUACUAGUGGUUGGAAGCCUGGGACAUACCAGAUACAUACCAUUAAGGGAAAAGGAGGUCGUACUCAUUUGCCUUGAGUAAAUUUUGGAGAACAGGGGUACAAGAAGUACAAGAAGGUACUUUGCGAAGCCUGUUCUACAGAAAUCUUUCGAUAAAGACUUGGCACUUAAAAGAUUGCAUUUUGAACAAACAUGUAAGCCCAACUAAAGAAUUGUCCUGUAAUUACUUAAAAGGACCUUGAAGGAAGGAAGUGACUAUUGUAGUACAGACGCGAUAGAACCAGAAAAUAUGUAAAUAUAUGAAGAUCCCUAGGAUCAGAAAAAGAAGUCUAGCCUGAACCAGAGUUACUCACUUAGCUCCUCUGUUCAGGGGUUACCAUCAGCUCUCUAGUGAGGACUUGCUGGAGACUCACACCAGCACCUGCUGCUGCUUCUGUGUGGUUGGCAGUAGGUAGAUAGGUUUGGUAUAGAGUACUCAUUAUGGAGGUGAAUGACAGUCUCUGCAAACAGGUCCUUCUGUCACCUUCAUAGAACACCAAGGUAAAGAACACUGAGGUAAAGAACCUCUCCAAUUAUGACAGCAGUGAGUAUCUAGGCUGAGUGCUGGAGCUAUUAUUUAGUCCAGCACCCGAUACUCAUGUCUUGUGUAUAAGGCUUGUUGUCUGUGCCAGUUCUGAGAGGAUUCACAAGUAUCUCCAACUCAUUAGAACAUUCUGUUGAGGAAUCUACUUCCUUGUGUGCUGUGGCCGAGGGACACAGAGGAGAGGGGACAGUAUCUCUGGAUUUCAGGGUGGCUCCUACUCUGCCAAAUACUUCCUGCCCCGGUGAUUGAGCGGUGAAGAAAUCAAAGCCCCUGAGCUCACAGAGCCUAUACUCUGCUGGAGAAGACAGACACCGAACAUGUAAUGUACUAUGUGUAAAAAGGUGGUUACCAUUUACUGAAUUGGGGAAAGAUUGAGGGUGGAGCAUUUUGGGGGAGGAAGAUCAGGAGUCUUAUUCUGGACGUAUUAAAUCUGAGAUGCCAGUUGGAUGUCUGAGAGGAGAUGUCAAAUAGGAGUUGGGUAAAGAAGUCAGAUUCAGGGAUGAGGUUCUGGCUGACAAUAUGCAACUGGGAGACAGACAUCAGAUAGUAUUGGAGGGCACUGGGCUCAGUGAGAUCAUGGAAAUGCUGGGUGUAGAUGGAGAAGAGGUCUGGGGACCUAGCCCUGGGGGCUUUUACAUUUAGAGGUCAGGAGAGGAGGAGGUCCCAGAAACAGAGAGGAUAGGGGAGCAAGGGGAGGAGGAGAAAACCAGGAAAGCCCAGGGGAUAAGUGAUUCCAGAGGGAGAGAGGAAUCAGUCCGGUCAGAUAUUGCCGAUCAGUGGAGUCAGCUGAGGACUGAGGUACUGUUGGCUUUGGCAACAUGGAGGUCUUCAGAGCAGUUUCAGUGGUGUGAUGGGGAUGGAAGUAGUUGAAUGGGUUCAGGAGAGAACAAGAGGAAGGAGGCAGAGUAUUAUGAUAAAGGGAACGGAGAAAUGGGGCAGUGCUGAGGGGGAAGGGGGUCAUGGAGAGACUACUUUGUCCCUGGCCCUCGUGCAAUUCUUCCUUUAUGAACAAAUGAACCAUUUCUACCCCUCCAAAGAGUACUCAGAUGACAUCAGAGACCUCACCUCCCUGCCUGCUGUCUUCUCAUGCAGGGCUAACACUACUCAGUUCUUGCUCCAGGGCUUAUUCCCUAUGACUAGAUCUGUCCCAUGGCUUGUACUUUCUUUUUUUUUUAAGAUUUUACUUAUUUAUUCAUGAGAGACACAGAGACACAGGCAGAGGGAGAAGCAGGCUUCCUGUGGGCAUGCCAAUGCAGGACUUGAUCCCAGGACCCCGGGAUCAUGACCUGAGCCAAAGGCAGAUGCUCAAUCACUGAGCCACCAGAUGUCCCUAUCCUGUCUUUCUUGAGCAUCCACAUGGAGAAAAGAAUGCUGGAUGGCCUGCAGGGAUAUUUCAUCCUUGGCGCCAGCCCUAAUAAGACUCCCUGCUUUUUUUCUUGUCUCCUUCCCACCUUGCAGUCUAUUAUCUCCACCAAGCAGCCAGAGUGGUCUUCUAAAAAUACAAACCAGAGCACCUCACUCCCCUGCUUUAAAACAACAAACUGUCACCACCACUACUCUUAAAGUGGCUUCAACAUGAACUUAGAUAAAAUCCACUGUCGUUUCUAAAGCCAUCAAGGCCCCUUGUGAUCUGGACUGUGGCUGCCUGUGUGGGUCCAGCUCCCCAAAUCCCUGUCCUGCCGUCUCCAUGAAGUUUCUGUUGUGGGCCAGGCCGAGCUCUUCCUUCCUGAAGAACCUCACAUUCUGCUUGCUCUGACUUGCCCCUUCCUUCCUGUGUCUUCUCUGGGCUGACUGCUCCCUGAUAUUUAGGUCCCAGCUCCGAGUCUGCUAAUCCAAGCUGCCUGACCAGGCGAGGUCACAUCAUUUCAUCACUUCUUUCCUUCAUAGCUGUUGUCGCUAAUGGAAAUGACCUUGUGUAUAUAUUUAUUUAAGAGCCUGUUUGCUAUCUCCCUU